UGAGAAAUACUGCAUCUCUCAGCUAAGC
RNAcentral lists this non-coding RNA (28 nucleotides) under Mus musculus (house mouse). Lineage: Eukaryota; Metazoa; Chordata; Mammalia; Rodentia; Muridae. The record is from RNAcentral.